AAAAGGGAAAUGUUUGAAACAGGUGGGAAAAAUAGAACAUAAAUGCAUAAAUCAGUGGUGCGAUGACAGUAAUCUAAAGAAAGCAGAUGCAAGCUUCGAAAACAAUUUGAGAAAAGCCACGUAUUGACAUCUUGCUUAUGUGUUUCAUUGUUUAUUGUUUGGGAGUAAUCACAACAUGUCACGAAAGAAUAAUUGCAUUGAUUUGAGAAUAUAAAUAUCUAACAAUGUCCCACAUUAGUUUAUAUUCUUGAAAGAUUACUUGAUUCAAUGGUAAAUGUGUAAUUUAUGAACAUGUACACAAAUAUAGCUUUUGUUUUGGUGCUGUUUUUUCUGCAAUGUUACGAAGGGCAUAAAAUAUCUUCUGAAAUAGACGUAAUUGCUUCUGCUGACAGCAGUGACCAGAAUAUGGUGUUUCUAAAGGGCAAAUUUAUUUGUAAUAAAACCUGCAAAGGUUUGCCUAAGUCAUGCAUUGAUUGCGGUAAACUUAUACUCCAAGGAUUCAAGUAAUUAAUGUGCACGAAAAUCUUAUAAAAAUAAAAAUGCAUUGUACUUAAGCAUUACAAUACAGAAUAUUUAAAAAAUAAAAAUAUUAUGAUGC
Long non-coding RNA from Parasteatoda tepidariorum (common house spider), 598 nucleotides. RefSeq lists it as uncharacterized. NCBI's taxonomy places the organism in Eukaryota, Metazoa, Arthropoda, Arachnida, Araneae, Theridiidae. The record is from RefSeq and is a predicted model, not a curated record.